Molecule: unclassified non-coding RNA, 258 nt
Filed under: uncultured fungus
Lineage: Eukaryota; Fungi
Description: partial contains small subunit ribosomal RNA, internal transcribed spacer 1, and 5.8S ribosomal RNA
Rfam family: Eukaryotic small subunit ribosomal RNA (bases 1-73)
Source: RNAcentral
GCAAACUUGGUCAUUUAGAGGAAGUAAAAGUCGUAACAAGGUCUCCGUUGGUGAACCAGCGGAGGGAUCAUUACUGGGUCGCAAGGCUCCUAAACCCACUGUGAACAUACCUGUGUCGUUGCUUCGGCGGGCGAGAGCCCGCCGGAAAACCAAACAAAACUGUUGUCGCGUUAGUGGAUUAUUCUGAGACCGUAGCGGGAACGAGUCAAAACUUUCAACAACGGAUCUCUUGGCUCUGGCAUCGAUGAAGAACGCAGC